GGGAGAUCCAGUCUGCCACGUCUAACCACUAUGCCUGCACCUAUCUUUCAAGAUCUUUAAAAAGGAGUCAUUUCCUAUGGGACUGUUAGAAAUAGAAAAGCAGAAGAAUUACAGAAGGUGGCCUGGUUAACAGAUGCCGAAUAUUCCCACUAUGGUCUCCACAAAGAAGUUCUAAAAUUGUCUGAAAUGAUCAGGUAUUGGAGAGUAACACUUCUGGAUGGGGAUUCACAGCAGCUGGCACCAUGGGAGGACUGAACAGAUAAUAACGAACGCCCAAGAAAGAAGGGUGCAUUUUCUCUUGUGUGGAUCUGUUGUCAUGGAUUCCGA
This 327-nucleotide long non-coding RNA is filed under the name Gallus gallus (chicken). RNAcentral's name for it is "lncRNA (ENSGALG00010002651.1)". The record is from RNAcentral. Lineage: Eukaryota; Metazoa; Chordata; Aves; Galliformes; Phasianidae.